This 254-nucleotide ribosomal RNA is filed under the name uncultured bacterium. RNAcentral's name for it is "partial 16S ribosomal RNA". It matches the Rfam family "Bacterial small subunit ribosomal RNA", at positions 524 to 776 of the family's 1533-position model. The record is from RNAcentral.
UACGGAGGGUGCAAGCGUUAUCCGGAAUCACUGGGUGUAAAGGGCGCGUAGGCGGCUAUGUAAGUCAGUUGUGAGAUACCUCGGCUUAACCGAAGGAAGUGCGAUUGAUACUGCGUAGCUUGAAUCAGGUUGAGGUAGGCGGAAUGUGACAUGUAGCGGUGAAAUGCUUAGAUAUGUCAUAGAACACCGAUUGCGAAGGCAGCUUACUGGGCUUUGAUUGACGCUGAGGCACGAAAGCGUGGGGAGCAAACAGG